This 472-nucleotide ribosomal RNA is filed under the name uncultured bacterium. Its description in RNAcentral is "partial 16S ribosomal RNA". It matches the Rfam family "Bacterial small subunit ribosomal RNA", at positions 28 to 507 of the family's 1533-position model. The record is from RNAcentral.
GACGAACGCUGGCGGCGUGCUUAACACAUGCAAGUCGAACGCUGAAGCUUGGUGCUUGCACUGGGUGGAUGAGUGGCGAACGGGUGAGUAAUAAGUGAGUAACCUGCCCUUGACUCUGGGAUAAGCCUGGGAAACUGGGUCUAAUACUGGAUACGACAUGUCACCGCAUGGUGGUGUGUGGAAAGGGUUUUACUGGUUUUGGAUGGGCUCACGGCCUAUCAGCUUGUUGGUGGGGUAAUGGCUCACCAAGGCGACGACGGGUAGCCGGCCUGAGAGGGUGACCGGCCACACUGGGACUGAGACACGGCCCAGACUCCUACGGGAGGCAGCAGUGGGGAAUAUUGCACAAUGGGCGGAAGCCUGAUGCAGCGACGCCGCGUGAGGGAUGACGGCCUUCGGGUUGUAAACCUCUUUCAGCACGGAAGAAGCGAAAGUGACGGUACGUGCAGAAGAGGCGCCGGCUAACUACGUG